AUUGAACGCUGGCGGCAGGCCUAACACAUGCAAGUCGAACGGUAACAGGAAGCAGCUUGCUGCUUUGCUGACGAGUGGCGGACGGGUGAGUAAUGUCUGGGAAACUUCCCGAUGGAGGGGGAUAACUACUGGAAACGGUAGCUAAUACCGCAUAACGUCGCAAGACCAAAGAGGGGGACCUUAGGGCCUCUUGCCAUCGGAUGUGCCCAGAUGGGAUUAGCUAGUAGGUGGGGUAACGGCUCACCUAGGCGACGAUCCCUAGCUGGUCUGGGAGGAUGACCAGCCACACUGGAACUGAGACACGGUCCAGACUCCUACGGGAGGCAGCAGUGGGGAAUAUUGCACAAUGGGCGCAAGCCUGAUGCAGCCAUGCCGCGUGUAUGAAGAAGGCCUUCGGGUUGUAAAGUACUUUCAGCGGGGAGGAAGGGAGUAAAGUUAAUACCUUGGCUCAUUGACGUUACCCGCAGAAGAAGCACCGGCUAACUCCGUG
This 490-nucleotide ribosomal RNA is filed under the name uncultured bacterium. RNAcentral describes it as "partial 16S ribosomal RNA". It matches the Rfam family "Bacterial small subunit ribosomal RNA", at positions 30 to 507 of the family's 1533-position model. The record is from RNAcentral.